RNAcentral lists this ribosomal RNA (540 nucleotides) under Mitra ambigua. Its description in RNAcentral is "Strigatella ambigua partial 12S ribosomal RNA". The record is from RNAcentral. Lineage: Eukaryota; Metazoa; Mollusca; Gastropoda; Neogastropoda; Mitridae.
AACCGGGGGAUUAAGUUGUACUGUAUGGUAAAAACACAGUUAGACAAAUAAACGAGGUUAACUCACGACACUAUUGGGAGGUAGAAUUCGAACAUAGGUAAAUAUUCUUGAUAAAACCAGCGUGUUGAAGCUGUGAUAACUUUGAGGGAAACUAGGAUUAGAUACCCUACUAUUCAUAGACGUAAAUAAGAGAGUUCUACCAGAGUACUAAGAAUAAAAAAUUUAAAACUCAAAGGGCUUGGCGGUGUUCUAGACUACUUAGGGGAACCUGUCUCAUAAUCGACAAUCCACGUUAGACCUGACCUUUCUUUGCAUUCAGUUUGUAUACCGUCGUCGCCAGGUAACUUUUAAGAUAUAAACAGUUAGCUAUCUAAAUACUUGAAUUAAGACGUCAGAUCAAGGUGCAGCCAACAGAAAGGUGCGGAUGGGUUACAAUUAUAUAUUUAUAAUUACAGAUAAUGACUCUAAAAAUAGUUAAGAAGGAGGACUUAAAAGUAAAAGAAAUUAUAUAAACGCUUUGAAUAAAGCUCUGGAACGUGC